AGCGGCGGACGGGUGAGUAACGCGUGGGUAACCUGCCUCAUACAGGGGGAUAACAGUUGGAAACGGCUGCUAAUACCGCAUAAGCGCACAGUACCGCAUGGUACGGUGUGAAAAACUCCGGUGGUAUGAGAUGGACCCGCGUCUGAUUAGGUAGUUGGUGGGGUAACGGCCUACCAAGCCGACGAUCAGUAGCCGACCUGAGAGGUUGAACGGCCACAUUGGGACUGAGACACGGCCCAG
Molecule: ribosomal RNA, 240 nt
Filed under: uncultured bacterium
Lineage: Bacteria
Description: partial 16S ribosomal RNA
Rfam family: Bacterial small subunit ribosomal RNA
Source: RNAcentral